ACUGACCACCUGGCUCUUACCUGGCUCUUACCUGGCACUGACCUGGCACUGCUGUAGCUCUUCUGGGAGGCGGAGACGUGGCGUCAAGACCUCUUUUUUUUUUUUUUUUUUUUUUUUUUCCCGUCGAUUUUUGCACUUAUGUUUUCAUGACUGUGCCACGAGCAAGCCGUCAGUACUGAAGAUCUCCCAAGGGGGCCUCAUAUUCCUGUCCGAGCUGUUGAUCCUCUAACAUCACUGAUUUAAUGAUGUGCGUUGUGUAGAAAACAACCUUUUGAAAAAAAAGAAAGUUGGAGUAACUUUUUUUUCCCCCCUUAUCUUGAAAGGAAGCUGUUACCAGACCAGCAAUACAUUCCAAAUCCAUUAGAAGGAGAAAAUAGAGUCUUGUAUGAUGUCCUAUGAGCUCUUGAAGAUGAAAACUGGGAAGUGAGACAUUGCUAAGUUUAUGAUAUCACAGUACAAUGCAUUUGCAUCAAAAAGAAAAGGUUCAGCAAAGCUUUACAACUGAAAACAAUGAUCUCGUUGAACAGUCAAGUAACAGGCAGGUAACACCUUUCAGAAGUGAACCUAUGACAGUCACCGUAGAACAGUCUUCAUUUGAAGACUAUUAAACUCCAUUGAGCGAAGAAGAGGAAUGACCUCUUCCUUAUGACCAGAAUAGACUCUCUCCAUUUACACUGUAACUAAUGGGCAACUGUUGACACAGUGCCACAGAAAAAAAGACAAAAAAAAACCUAGAUGGGCAACCGAAUAUUUUUUCUAUAGUCAGAUCUAUCUUUAAAAAGCUACCAAAUACAUUGUUUAGCAAUUCCUAAUCAUCUUAGAGCAAUGUGCUUUGCAAACCUUUUACUUUCCAAAUGACUUCCAAAUGUCCAGGGCUGUAGUUUUGUCACAUCACACAUGAUAAAACAGGAACUAUUUGCUGGUUCAGUAUGGCUGACUAACCUGUACUAACAAAGUCCACAUUAAGAUCCUCCCAUGCUUUCUUUUGGCUUUAGCAGUCAAUGUUUUGAAGUGGGAGGAAAAGGGGAUUCUUUUAUGCCACUACCUAAAGACAACUUGUACAUAAAGCUAAAACACUUUGAUUUGAAGAAAAAUAAAUGCCAUGUAAGAUGGGGAAGUCUCCUGAUAGUUAUUCUGUAGUGCUGGAAGAUAAACAUAACCUAGUUCCAGUAACAAAGCAUUGUCUUUGCAUUACCUAUUGUAAAUAACACAUUUAUUUACUCAGGGCACAGGAGCAGGAUGACAUGUAUGCUUGGUACUGAAGAAAAAUGUGUUUGUGCACAUUAUUCUGGAGACUUUGUGCAAGUAUAUUUCUUAAAAAACUGUUGUGUUUCUUAGAUUCCUAUCAUAUUUUACUCUGGAAUAAACAGGACAGCUUGUAGCAUAUGCCACCAGCUUUGGUUCUGCCUGAGCAUUUUUAAAGGUGGAAACUCAAGUUAUCAAUUAGAUGGUGAAAGGAAGCAUUGAUACAUAGGUCUGAAGAUUGUUGAAGCAGUGCUGAAAUCUCUGCUUUGCACUGAUUUUCUAUGGCGUGUACUACUGUGGAUCUUACUGGAGCAAUAUUAUGCUACAGGGGAAGGUAACGCAGAAACAGGUGAUAUGCUGUGUCACACAGGAGAAAAUCUGUGCCACACAGAAGAUAGCCCUGGUAAUAUUUUAUUUGUCUGACUCUAAUUCUGCAAUUUGCCAUUUAAAUUGAAUAUUCAUUUAUAAGAUAUCAUAAGGAUGUCUCAGAGGGAAGUUCUUGAGAUCAACAGGGCAACAAGGUGACACAUCAAGUGCACCACAUUUAUUACAAUGUCAGAGUCCUUUCUUUAAUCCACCAUGAGUACUUUUCUCCCUGAUCUGGCACUUCUGUCAAUAACUCACCCAGUGUAACCAUUCCAGAAAAUAACAUGUUUUCUACUUGCAUAACAACAGAAGAAAGCACUUUCCUAGCUGAGAGGAAGGCACUUUCCUCCCUUCAAGAUACUUUCAGAACAUUCCUUUCUGCAAAUGGGAGAGGAAAGUACCUGUCCUAUACCUUCAAGCUGAAACCAUUUUUUGAGGAAUUUGGAUCUGUAUAAAUUGAGACAGGCAAGCUCAGUGUUACCCACCCACACAAGGACCGCUGUAUCUCACUUGCAACAAUGAAGAUCAAAUACUAUGAAGAAUCUUGCAGUGAUGAAGUGUCUUCAUAUUAUGAGGAUUAUCAGAAAGCAAAAAAAGUCACUUUCUCAAAUGCAAUUAGAUAUCUACAGAUGCAAGUUGGUAUUAAGUGAUAAUUUCCAAAGCAUAUGAGGCGCUUAGUUGGUUCUGGCUUUACAUCCUUAAAUGAAUACUGUGAUAACCUUCAGGUGGUGACCAAUACCUGUGAUCAAGCCAUUUCUUGGCACUAGAACUGCUUUUUUCCUUAGUCAGACUUUGCAAGUAUUUAUCCACAUGUCCCAUCAUUCCAUGGAAGAGGUAUUAGGCUGCACCAUAUGCAGCCAGCUAGGUAGACAGAGUGCUAUUUGAGGUACCAGGAACAACAGUCAGUGGAGAGUUCAUGGUGCCCAGCACCUUGAAAGACCAUAGAAGAUAAAAGCAUGAAACUCAAAUCACUACUGAAGAAGUUUUCUGCUCAGAAAAGCACCUAGUGAUUUUGUGGAUAUAUAUACUUGACUCACUUUUAAAGGCAAAACAUGAAUAUUUUUACAGUUAUGUAAAGAACAUUCAUGUUAACUACAAACCUGUUAAAUAUUCUACAUACAUUAUGGUGCUAGAGGCCAGAUGUGGCUUUUUUUUUUCCCCUCAAGGUGCCUUAAAUGUUGACCCUUAUUUCUUCACAACAUCCUAUGAGGUAGAUAAGUUCUGUAACAUCUUUUCAGAAUGGAAAACAGAGACAAAAAGAGGUAAAUUGACCUGGUUAAGGUUGUACAGCAAAUCCAGAAACCAAACUUGGGUCAUGAUCAUAGAUGUGUCUACUGCAACACAAUGCCUUACAUCCUAACUUCAUCUUCAAGGCUAAAUAAACAUCAUUCAUACACAAUGGCAAGAUACACCUAGUCCAAUACUAAGUUUUUGAUAGACUUUUGCUUCAGAAAUUACAUGAAUAGGUGCUACAAUUUUGUCACAGGACCUGGAUUCUAAAGUACACAAUCAGCACAACUCCUAUCAUCUGUGCCCCUUAUUGUUUGCAAGACCUUCAGUUAGAGCCUCUCUCUUGCCUUGUUUCCACUUCAAAAUUCUACAGUUAAUUAUUGAGAUGAAUCCAGGAGCUUUCCCAGUAGGUGUGAAGUCCUAUGCAACACCAGUCAUUUCCAAGCUGGCACUAAUAAAGCCUGUGAAACCACAUCUACCUGGAUCCAAGGGAGGAAAGAUUCUUGCCCCUGCCGGUACCACAGUGCAAGGAGUACACAACCAACAUAAUUGCUCAAGACUUCAACAGAAUCAUGACUAGCAUGGCAUCACGUUAUCCUGACCCUCAAUAAUGGUGUCUAAAUGCAUUGAGAUCUGGGAAUGAAAACAAGAUGAUGAAAAACAUUUGCAUGUUGACUUGGAAACAGCUCACCACAAGGUUGAGUCCAGACUAAAAUAUAACAGACUCACCUAAAUAAGUGACAUUGGGAAUUUCUCUGUACAGCUGCUAACU
This is a long non-coding RNA of Phasianus colchicus (ring-necked pheasant), 3613 nucleotides long. RefSeq lists it as uncharacterized. The record is from RefSeq and is a predicted model, not a curated record. Lineage: Eukaryota; Metazoa; Chordata; Aves; Galliformes; Phasianidae.